Molecule: ribosomal RNA, 914 nt
Filed under: uncultured archaeon
Lineage: Archaea
Description: bacterial SSU rRNA
Rfam family: Archaeal small subunit ribosomal RNA
Source: RNAcentral
UUCCGGUUGAUCCCGCCGGACCUGACUGCUAUCGGAUUGAUACUAAGCCAUGCGAGUCAUUGUAGCAAUACAAGGCAGACGGCUCAGUAACGCGUAGUCAAUCUACCCUAUGGACGGGAAUAACCUCGGGAAACUGAGAAUAAUACCCGACAGAACAUUAUACCUGGAACGGUUUAUGUUUCAAAUGAUUUAUCGCCGUAGGAUGGGACUGCGGCCUAUCAGUUUGUUGGUGAGGUAAUGGCCCACCAAGACUAUUACAGGUACGGGCUCUGAGAGGAGUAGCCCGGAGAUGGGUACUGAGACACGGACCCAGGCCCUAUGGGGCGCAGCAGGCGAGAAAACUUUGCAAUGUGCGAAAGCACGACAAGGUUAAUCCGAGUGGUUUCUGCUAAAGAAACCUUUUGUUAGUCCUAGAAACACUAGUGAAUAAGGGGUGGGCAAGUUCUGGUGUCAGCCGCCGCGGUAAAACCAGCACCUCAAGUGGUCAGGAUGAUUAUUGGGCCUAAAGCAUCCGUAGCUCGUUUUGUAAGUUUUCGGUUAAAUCCAUACGCUUAACGUAUGGGCUGCCGGGAAUACUGCAUAACUAGGAAGUGGGAGAGGUAGACGGUACUCGGUAGGAAGGGGUAAAAUCCUUUGAUCUAUUGAUGACCACCUGUGGCGAAGGCGGUCUACCAGAACACGUUCGACGGUGAGGGAUGAAAGCUGGGGGAGCAACCCGGAUUAGAUACCCGGGUAGUCCCAGCUGUAAACUAUGCAAACUCAGUGAUGCAUUGGCUUGUGGCCAAUGCAGUGCUGCAGGGAAGCCGUUAAGUUUGCCGCCUGGGAAGUACGUACGCAAGUAUGAAACUUAAAGGAAUUGGCGGGGGAGCACCACAAGGGGUGAAGCCUGCGGUUCAAUUGGAUUCAACGCCGGG